AUGCAGUCGAGCGAAGCGCCUGGAAGUUUUCGGACAGAAGGGUGACUGAGCGGCGGACGGGUGAGUAACGCGUGGGUAAUCUGCCUCAUACAGGGGAAUAACAGCUAGAAAUGGCUGCUAAUGCCGCAUAAGCGCACAGGACCGCAUGGUCUGGUGUGAAAAACUCCGGUGGUAUGAGAUGAACCCGCGUCUGAUUAGUUAGUUGGCAGGGUAACGGCCUACCAAGACGACGAUCAGUAGCCGGCCUGAGAGGGUGGACGGCCACAUUGGGACUGAGACACGGCCCAGACUCCUACGGGAGGCAGCAGUGGGGAAUAUUGCACAAUGGGGGAAACCCUGAUGCAGCAACGCCGCGUGAGUGAAGAAGUAUUUCGGUAUGUAAAGCUCUAUCAGCAGGGAAGAAAAUGACGGUACCUGAGUAAGAAGCCCCGGCUAACUACGUGCCAGCAGCCGCGGUAAUACGUAGGGGGCAAGCGUUAUCCGGAUUUACUGGGUGUAAAGGGAGCGUAGACGGCGAGGCAAGUCUGAUGUGAAAGCCUGGGGCUUAACCCCGGAACUGCAUUGGAAACUGCUUUGCUGGAGUGCC
RNAcentral lists this ribosomal RNA (586 nucleotides) under uncultured bacterium. RNAcentral's name for it is "bacterial SSU rRNA". It matches the Rfam family "Bacterial small subunit ribosomal RNA", at positions 55 to 650 of the family's 1533-position model. The record is from RNAcentral.